Molecule: long non-coding RNA, 3224 nt
Organism: Bubalus bubalis (water buffalo)
Lineage: Eukaryota; Metazoa; Chordata; Mammalia; Artiodactyla; Bovidae
Exons: 2
Source: RefSeq, a predicted model, not a curated record
AGUGAAGUAGCUCAGUCGUCUCCGACUCUUUGCGACCCCAAGGACCGCAGCCCAGCAGGCUCCUCCAUCCAUGGGAAUUUCCAGGCAAGAGUACUGGAGUGGGGUGCCAUCGCCUUCUCCGAAAUAUGCGUACUAGAAGGCAUUUCAUCAAUUUUCCUUUCAGAAGUUUCUCUGAAGGAGAAUGACUGCAGGGAGCACUCCAUAGUUAAAACUGGUGGAAAAUGGAUAUUUUAGCAUGAAUCGUGAGAUGAAGGUUGAUGGUUAGAACAUUACAGUUCUUAGCAAUGUAUAUAUGCUUGUUAAUAAUGAUGUGAUGUGACAUUAUUUGAACUGAAUGUAAUUCACCACUCAAAUAAUCCACGUUAUGCUUUCUUUCUAGUGUGUUUGCAAACAUAGGUUUUUGAUGUUUUAUUAAAGAUUAGCCUUUUUAUGUUGUGUUGCAACCAUUUCUAUCUAAUCUCCAUUAGAAGAUUGAGGAUAGCAUAAUGUAAAAUGGACAAUGAACAUUUAAAUAGAGGUAUUUGUCGUUGACGUGAAAUAUCUGGAGGUUGCCAUGAAGUAAGUGAUCAUUUAAUCUUUCCGUGUAUUAAAGAAAGACAGAAGUUCGUUGUAAUGUUUCAAUAGUAAUAUCCUUCAUUUGUAAGAAGAACACAAUGACAGUUCACUGCAAUAUUGAUGUAUCUUUAUAAUAUCAACACAAGUCAUGAUUACUACUUGACAGUGUUGAAAUAAGGACAGUAAUAACCUAGAAACGUAAGAAACCUUUCCUGGAAAAGGCAUGGAAUUGGUGCAUAUCAUGCUUGCUAAGUGCUUCCUAGUCUUUGUUUGGUAAGCCAUGGAAAUCAGAAAUCUCACAUCGUUCUAUCAACAAAGGAAUAUCUUUCUCCGUACUUUUGAUCUGUAUUUAAUCAUGGAUCAUACCGCGGAUUGUAAAAGGUUUUAUUUCAACUAUGUGUGAAAUUUAAUACAUGGUUAUUCAUAAAAGUGAAUGGCUUUUAUUGUUUCGGUUGUUGUAAUGUAUGAAAUGUUAACCCACCACCAACAGCAACCUCGCCCACCUUAUUUAAGGUUGUAGUGAAGAGACCGCAAUUAACUGUUCGGUAACACACAAAGAUGGCAUAUGGGGAAAUUAGUUUACUCACUGGAUUUAAACUUCUCAUAACUUCAUGUACAUUCCAUCAUUUCUAGGUUGUAUCUCCUCUCUCAUUUUGUAACUGCUUAGACACUGGGAUGAUUCUAGUAAGAAAGAUGAUACAGAGUAUUGUUGACAGUUUCCCUAAACUGCUCCAUGAUGUUGCUGCCUCAGCAUCUGUCUGGGGAUCAGGCAGCCUGCAGGUCCUUGAGCUCACACCAGCCAGUCUUGUGAGCACAUGCACUAGAUGAACCCCUUCCUUGAGACCAGCAGUCUUGCUGGACCUCAGGGUCUAUCCACAGACCCCCGUUCAAUCACACUGAGAGAGUCAAUUUCUUGGCAGGUUGAUAAGUCCAGGGGUCCCCAAGGAGAGAGGGGUCUGGAAUUCUCAAGGAGGAAGAAAGGACAAACGUGGUUUUUUCCUGUUUGAGGACACUCUGGAAAAAAACUUUCUGGCUAAUCUUAUUGUCUUAAAAUGUAAAUUAUGGGAGUGGGCCUAGUGAGGUCUUUACAACCUCCAGACAGUCUUUUGAUUCACUGGAAUAACUAAAUAAUAGUAUGUAACUCCUUUGCUAACACUAGCGAGGGGGCACUCUUUCUGCCCCUUCUGAAGUCUAUGUCAGAAGCUUUCUCUAUUCUCUUUUAUACUUUAAUAAAACUUUAUUACACAAAAGCUCUGAGCGAUCAAGCCUCAUCUCUGGCUCCAGAUUGAAUUCUUCUCCUCAGGAGGCCAAGAAUCCAGGGGUCUUUUUUGGUUGAACAACAACCUUUCAACACGCUCACAGUGCUCACCGGAAUCCUUGACUUGGUUUGAAUGAAUUAACCCACACUCAGCCUAGAGAGCCUGAGGCACUUCACUCAGGGUAAAGUAUAAAAGCUGAACUCCAAGUACUCCUGUUUUCUCUGCCUGAUUCUAGCUUUAACCUCUCUCAGAAAUUCCUGCCCUAAAUCGUCCCCUACAGAGAGGUCUUAGGUGUGGUGAGUGUGAGAUUUUGAGCUCAGGACUCCGGAACGUUGGUUUCGGGGAAGAAACAUCAGAAAAAAUGGGAUUUGCUGAUGACUCCUUUCACGGCCCGACUGUAGACCUGCAGAUUCAUAAGUUCUUGGAGUGGGAACCUGACCACCAGGGAUUUGUAUUCAUUGAAAUGGUUCAGAAAGAAUCUCUAGCCAAGUGGUUUCCUUCUGGUUUCCCAUCAGGAUUACGUGACCCGUUUCAGAAAUGACCUCACUGAUGCCCUCCCAACAGAGUUCUAUGUGGUCCUGUGGGAGCAUCAGUGUGGUUUGUAGGAAGUGUUCCAGGAGAUUCUAAGCAGAGGCCCGGGUUAAGGACGUGGCUCCUGGUCCAUCUGGUCCAUCUUAGAGCUGAGCCCCGGAGUCAGUCUGAGGAGAGGCAGCAGGGUUGGUCUAGCUGGAUUUGGACCGGGGAAGUCAGUCAGCUCACAUCAUCUGUGUGAGCAGAGUGUUAGGAGCUCUCUAUGGGGAAAGAACAAUCAAGAAAUGAGUUCACAGGCUGGUCUCUAGGUAGGAAUUGAUUGUCCCUGAAUCUCUCCUGAGACAGAGGACAGGAGAGGUCGGUCUUCUCAGCUUUUCAAAAUCCUUGUGUUUGUAGGAGCGGUGGUUGCAGGUUAGAAAGUUGUGUUGAUGCCCUCCAAGGUAUUUUCUCAAAACUCAGAAGUGCGUUUGCCGCGUAAUAUCCCCAGAGAAGACAGAGCAGGAGGAAGAAGGGGAGGAAAUGGCAGCUCAGGUCUUGUGGGCUCUAAGCUGGACCUCAUUACCUUUCUGGAGCAACUGAGCAAUCCCAGGACUAUAAGGAGAAUGGAGGCAACAGCCAUAUUCCCAGGCAGGUAUGAAUGGCUGGAGAUGAUGACUCAGAUAAGAGGUCCAAGGAGCUAGAGGAAGUCAUCCUUUGUCAGGUGGUUUUGGAAGAUCAUCUUCAGUGGAAAUGAUUUUGGAAAACCUGGGUUUGUGUCCACUGCUGUCAUAGAAAUGUACCACCUGCCCUAGUCUGUCUCUUAAAUCAUUCAUAAAUUCAUCUCCAGUGAUUACUUUCCUUCAUCACAGUGUGAACUAAAAGUCUCCUCUUGUCUUGUGA